UACGCAUGGGGCAAGCGUUAUCCGGAUUUACUGGGUGUAAAGGGAGCGUAGGCGGUACGGCAAGUCAGAAGUGAAAGCCUGGGGCUCAACCCCGGAAUUGCUUUUGAAACUGUCGAACUAGAGUGUCGGAGGGGUAAGCGGAAUUCCUAGUGUAGCGGUGAAAUGCGUAGAUAUUAGGAGGAACACCGGUGGCGAAGGCGGCUUACUGGACGACCACUGACGCUGAGGCUCGAAAGCGUGGGGAGCAAACAGG
RNAcentral lists this ribosomal RNA (253 nucleotides) under uncultured bacterium. RNAcentral describes it as "partial 16S ribosomal RNA". It matches the Rfam family "Bacterial small subunit ribosomal RNA", at positions 524 to 776 of the family's 1533-position model. The record is from RNAcentral.